RNAcentral lists this ribosomal RNA (253 nucleotides) under uncultured bacterium. RNAcentral describes it as "partial 16S ribosomal RNA". It matches the Rfam family "Bacterial small subunit ribosomal RNA", at positions 524 to 776 of the family's 1533-position model. The record is from RNAcentral.
UACGGAGGGAGCUAGCGUUGUUCGGAAUUACUGGGCGUAAAGCGCGCGUAGGCGGCUACUCAAGUCGGGGGUGAAAGCCCGGGGCUCAACCCCGGAACUGCCCUCGAAACUAGGUAGCUAGAAUCUUGGAGAGGCGAGUGGAAUUCCGAGUGUAGAGGUGAAAUUCGUAGAUAUUCGGAAGAACACCAGUGGCGAAGGCGACUCGCUGGACAAGUAUUGACGCUGAGGUGCGAAAGCGUGGGGAGCAAACAGG